Molecule: unclassified non-coding RNA, 324 nt
Filed under: uncultured Paraglomerales
Lineage: Eukaryota; Fungi; Glomeromycota; Glomeromycetes; Paraglomerales
Description: sequence contains ITS2
Source: RNAcentral
AACGCAAAUUGCGCCUUCUUUCGGAAGGCAUGUCUGUUUGAGGGCACCAUUUAACAAAUAAUGUGCGCGUCGUUUACGGACGACGUGCACACGUUGAUGAGCUUUUCCGAAAAAACCAAGUUUUUUUGGUGGCGCAUAAUGAACAGCGUGGGCUUUUUCUUCGAUUCUCGUGUAGCAAAUCUUCAACGCUUGGGUUGAGAAAAAGUGCGUGCCGCGCAAUGGGUGUGGCGAAUUUUACCCCUGCCCCAAUGCCACUCUUUCCCUGCGAAAGAACAAUCUUUUAUUAAGGGCCUCAAAUCAGACAAGAGUACCCGCUGAACUUAA